CAGCACCGCGGGAACACGGAGGGUGCAAGCGUUAUCCGGAUUCACUGGGUUUAAAGGGUGCGUAGGCGGAUCUGUAAGUCAGUGGUGAAAUCUCCAGGCUUAACCUGGAAACUGCCGUUGAUACUAUAGGUCUUGAAUUUUGUGGAGGUUAGCGGAAUAUGUCAUGUAGCGGUGAAAUGCAUAGAUAUGACAUAGAACACCAAUUGCGAAGGCAGUUGGCUACACAACUAUUGACGCUGAGGCACGAAAGCGUGGGGAUCAAACAGGAUUAGAUACCCCAGUAGUCCCUGUCUCUUAUACC
RNAcentral lists this ribosomal RNA (301 nucleotides) under uncultured bacterium. RNAcentral describes it as "partial 16S ribosomal RNA". It matches the Rfam family "Bacterial small subunit ribosomal RNA", at positions 509 to 808 of the family's 1533-position model. The record is from RNAcentral.